AUUGAACGCUGGCGGAAUGCUUUACACAUGCAAGUCGAACGGCAGCACGGGGCAACCUGGCGGCGAGUGGCGAACGGGUGAGUAAUACAUCGGAACGUGCCCAAUCGUGGGGGAUAACGUAGCGAAAGUUACGCUAAUACCGCAUACGAUCUACGGAUGAAAGCGGGGGAUCGCAAGACCUCGCGCGAAUGGAGCGGCCGAUGUCAGAUUAGGUAGUUGGUGGGGUAAAGGCUCACCAAGCCGACGAUCUGUAGCUGGUCUGAGAGGACGACCAGCCACACUGGGACUGAGACACGGCCCAGACUCCUACGGGAGGCAGCAGUGGGGAAUUUUGGACAAUGGGCGCAAGCCUGAUCCAGCCAUUCCGCGUGCAGGAUGAAGGCCUUCGGGUUGUAAACUGCUUUUGUAACGGAACGAAAAGGCUCUGGUUAAUACCGUGGAGUUUAUGACGGUACCGUAAGAAUAAGCACCGGCUAACUACGUG
RNAcentral lists this ribosomal RNA (484 nucleotides) under uncultured bacterium. Its description in RNAcentral is "bacterial SSU rRNA". It matches the Rfam family "Bacterial small subunit ribosomal RNA", at positions 30 to 507 of the family's 1533-position model. The record is from RNAcentral.